ACAGGUGCUGCAUGGCUGUCGUCAGCUCGUGUCGUGAGAUGUUGGGUUAAGUCCGUAACGAGCGCAACCCUCGUCCUUAGUUACCAGCACGUUAUGGUGGGCACUCUAAGGAGACUGCCGGUGACAAACCGGAGGAAGGUGGGGAUGACGUCAAGUCAUCAUGGCCUUACGGCCUGGGCUACACACGUGCUACAAUGGUCGGUACAAAGGGUUGCCAAGCCGCGAGGUGGAGCUAAUCCCAUAAAACCGAUCGUAGUCCGGAUCGCAGUCUGCAACUCGACUGCGUGAAGUCGGAAUCGCUAGUAAUCGUGAAUCAGAAUGUCACGGUGAAUACGUUCCCGGGCCUU
RNAcentral lists this ribosomal RNA (347 nucleotides) under uncultured Pseudomonas sp. RNAcentral's name for it is "bacterial SSU rRNA". It matches the Rfam family "Bacterial small subunit ribosomal RNA", at positions 1034 to 1382 of the family's 1533-position model. The record is from RNAcentral. Lineage: Bacteria; Pseudomonadati; Pseudomonadota; Gammaproteobacteria; Pseudomonadales; Pseudomonadaceae.